This 371-nucleotide ribosomal RNA is filed under the name uncultured Caldisericum sp. Its description in RNAcentral is "bacterial SSU rRNA". It matches the Rfam family "Bacterial small subunit ribosomal RNA", at positions 998 to 1382 of the family's 1533-position model. The record is from RNAcentral. Lineage: Bacteria; Pseudomonadati; Caldisericota; Caldisericia; Caldisericales; Caldisericaceae.
UGACCGCAAGGUCAUGGCUCAUCACAGGUGCUGCAUGGUUGUCGUCAGCUCGUGUCGUGAGAUGUAAGGUUAAGUCCUUGAACGAGCGCAACCCCUUUCGUCAGUUGCAAACCAGCAAUGGCGCACCCUGACGAUACUGCCAGCUAAAAGUUGGAGGAAGGAGGGGAUGACGUCAAAUCCUCAUGGCCUUUAUGUCCAGGGCUACACACAUGCGACAAUGGUCGGUACAACGAGUCGCAACACCGCGAGGUGAAGCCAAUCCCUAAAAACCGACCUCAGUUCAGAUUGCAGACUGCAAUUCGUCUACAUGAAGAUGGAGUUGCUAGUAACGGCAGGCCAGCAUCACUGCCGUGAAUAUGUUCCCGGGCCUU